Molecule: transfer RNA, 38 nt
Filed under: Kluyveromyces lactis
Lineage: Eukaryota; Fungi; Ascomycota; Saccharomycetes; Saccharomycetales; Saccharomycetaceae
Description: partial transfer RNA
Source: RNAcentral
AUCAAAACCGAAAGUGAUAACCACUACACUAUACAACC